GGGCUUGUAGCUCAGUUGGUAGAGCGUUCGCUUAGCAUCGUAACAUGCGAGAGGUCCAGGGUUCGAUUCCCUGCAAGUCCA
Molecule: transfer RNA, 81 nt
Filed under: Hypoxylon sp. EC38
Lineage: Eukaryota; Fungi; Ascomycota; Sordariomycetes; Xylariales; Hypoxylaceae
Description: tRNA-Ala
Rfam family: tRNA
About the family: Transfer RNA (tRNA) molecules are approximately 80 nucleotides in length.
Source: RNAcentral